RNAcentral lists this long non-coding RNA (627 nucleotides) under Panax ginseng (ginseng). RNAcentral's name for it is "long non-coding RNA (PGIN_LNC006182)". The record is from RNAcentral. Lineage: Eukaryota; Viridiplantae; Streptophyta; Magnoliopsida; Apiales; Araliaceae.
UUUAAAAUUUAUCCUUGAAUUUAUUUUAUUGAAUUAUUAUGUCAUGGUCAACAUCCUCACGCUUAUAUUGUGAUGAAAGUCAUCUUUGGCUUACGUGCAUAGAUGGACUUGGUAUGAUUAUGACCAGGAAUUAUUCGGUAUAAUUAUGACCGUAAUGUAACGAAUGAUGUGGUAAAAGUCCUCAUUGGCCUAUAAUUCAUUGAUGGACAGUUGUUGGUAUGAUUAUGACUAGGGAUUAUUCGGUAUAAUCAUGUCCAUUGAUGAUUACAUGAAUAUCCUUGGCCGUGGUGCAGGGAUGAUUCGAUGAUGUGGUUUAUUUAUUAAGUUGAGUCUCAGCGAUAAAGUUGAUGAAAAACUUUUUAAAUCAUAGAAGAUAGUAGAUUUUAUGCUCUACUUGACUCUUCUAAUGGAUUGCUUAUUCGGCUGCAGUUGUUGAUCUAAAACUUGUUGUCUAUUGUAUUCUAUCAGUUGUUAUACUGUUGAAGGCUAAGGAUAAUUUAUUCUGCAUUAUCUUAGUCAUAAUAUUUCUUACUGGGCUAGUUGAGCUCACCCUUUUCUUUCAUUGUUCUCUUCAGGAAAUGAAAAUAUAGCCGGGACUAGUCGGGGAUCGGAGUGACGGUCCAGAUG